Molecule: non-coding RNA, 121 nt
Filed under: Winslowiella iniecta
Lineage: Bacteria; Pseudomonadati; Pseudomonadota; Gammaproteobacteria; Enterobacterales; Erwiniaceae
Description: Erwinia iniecta TPP sequence
Rfam family: TPP riboswitch aptamer (THI element)
About the family: Vitamin B(1) in its active form thiamin pyrophosphate (TPP) is an essential coenzyme that is synthesised by coupling of pyrimidine and thiazole moieties in bacteria. The previously detected thiamin-regulatory element, thi box was extended, resulting in a new, highly conserved RNA secondary structure, the THI element, which is widely distributed in eubacteria and also occurs in some archaea.
Source: Rfam by way of RNAcentral
AGAAACUGUCAGGGGAGUCUCGCCGAAGAGACUGAGAGGCUAAUAGCGAUUUAUCGCGGUUUAGCGACCCUUCGAACCUGACCCAGUUGAUACUGGCGUAGGAAGACCUGUCUCUUGCUCU